Molecule: non-coding RNA, 197 nt
Filed under: Arenibacter troitsensis
Lineage: Bacteria; Pseudomonadati; Bacteroidota; Flavobacteriia; Flavobacteriales; Flavobacteriaceae
Source: RNAcentral
CUAGUUGCAAAGCCAGACCAGAAGUUUAUUUGCGAUUGCAUAAUGAUCAAAUACCGACUACAAAACUCAGUACUGACGGACAGGAACCAUAUAAGAGGCAUUUAUGCAUGGGUAAGCAAGCACAUCAUUGUAACGCUCCAAGAAUACCAAAAGUGCAUUUAUGUAGAUACGGCAGGAAUCGGGGGAAACCUGUCCGU